This 2963-nucleotide unclassified non-coding RNA is filed under the name Hevea brasiliensis (rubber tree). The record is from RNAcentral. Lineage: Eukaryota; Viridiplantae; Streptophyta; Magnoliopsida; Malpighiales; Euphorbiaceae.
CCUUCUCCAAGUUGCGAAAUCCCACUCGUCUCUUACACCAUUUAGCGACACUGCGAGGGUACCGACACUACACUUCCGCUCUCAUUUCUCAGAGGCCUUGCUUUGAGCCUGUUAGUGGAUGAUGAAGGCAGCAGCAAAUCUCCCUCACCCAACACCCUGGAUUCUCUACAUUUCUAAGCCCUGAUUCCCAAUUUUAUCCCCAAUUCACAAAUAUAAGAAAUGAAGCGGAAGCGUGGACGUCCCAAAAAAUCUGCUGCGAAAAAGCCUGCUGUGGUGAAUGCUGAUGAGGAAGCAUUUCUGAACUUCGUUGCUAAAAAUGUCGAUGAAAAUUCUUUGCCAGAUCGACCUAAUGAUCAUGGGUUUAAUCUGUAUGAUUCUGAAAAGGAGGCUAGUUCGUCUUUGUCUUUGUCUUCUUCUUCAGGCGAAAGUGAUGGAUUUCAUUUCGAGGGAGGAGGUGGUAGUGGUUUUGAGGAACCAGCGAUUGAUAGUAGGGUGAAAAGAUCAUCUAACAAACGUGCUCCACCAAAGAAAGGGGAAGCUUCAAGGAAAGGUACAAGUGCUACAGUUACGUCGGGAUUGAGAUCUUCGAGCAGGAAAGAAGUACCAUCGAAGAACCCAGCUCAGGAUUCUCUGAUUAACAAGAAUGAAUUGAAAGCUGCCUUAGCGGUGAUUAAGAAGGUUAUGGAAAUGGAUGAGGCUGUACCUUUCAAUGCUCCUGUGGAUCCUGUUUCUCAGGGAAUACCUGAUUAUUUCACUGUCAUUGAUAUGCCUAUGGAUUUUGGAACAAUCUGUAGCAAUCUUCAAAAUGUUAUCAAGUACCUGAAUGCAGAAGAUGUGUAUAAGGAUGUGGAGUGCAUUUGGGAGAAUUGUUAUAGGUAUAACAAAAAGGGUGACUACAUUGUGUACCUUAUGAAAAGGGUGGAGAAAAAGUUUAUGAAAUACUGGACCGCUGCCGGACUACGUAGUGAGAUUCUGAAGAAGCCUGAUGGACAUUCUCACAUAACAGAGCCACAUGUGACAGUCCUCCCUAUGGAGCAGGAAAAACAACCACCCAAGCGUUCAGUUGCCCCUAUGCUGAGUGGCCCAUCCCAUUCCCAGCUGCAACAGCACCAACCAGGCUCAUGUUAUUUGUGGCAGUCACAGCAGAUCACUGGCCAGCCACAGCCAUUUCACUCACUUGUUGGUGCAGAUAUUGAUAAUGCAGGCCCUUUGGCUGAAAUCCCAUUGGCCUCGUGCUAUUCUGUGCCUCACCGGCCCUCUGGGAGCAACAACCAACUACAAAGGUCACAGCACUCCACACAUGAGAUACAGAGGAGGGUUCGAGGCCCCACUCAAUGCCGCUUCAUGUUGGACAUGACUGAUGGUGAACGGCUAUUUGUCCCUAUCAACAUGCUGGGACAGCCUGUUGGUCCUGAAGCAUCAAAGCUCGCUUCCUUCUUGGGAACUGUAGCACGAAAUGGUAAGAUGGCGCCACUUAAUUUUCUGGACUGGUCAGCAAUGCCAGAUGCAAUCAAAGAGGAUAUGUGGCAGUUUGUGCAGACAAAGUUUGACAUUGACCCCAUGUGCAAAACAUGGGUUAUGAAGUCCCUUGCAUCAAAAUGGAGGAACUGGAAAGCAAAAUUGAAGGCUGACCAUUAUAACCCUCAUACAACUGAUGAGGAACGUUUGAAGGACUGUAACAAAAGAGUCCUUCCUGAUCAAUGGGCAGCCCUUGUAUCCCAUUGGAACUCUGAAAAGGUGCAGCUGCGUUGUGCUAAAAACAAGGCCAACCGUGCAAAGCAGAAAAGUGCCCAUGCUGCGGGCUCAAAGAGCUUUGCAAGGAUACGUGAGGAAGAGCGUGCAAAGAGGGCUGAUGGAGCGGAACUUACUAGAGGAGAACUAUACAUACUAACCCGUACGCGUAAGGAUGGACAACCUGUGGAUAAAGUAGCAGCAGAAGUAAUAACAAAACUCCAUGAACUAGAAGCUCAAAAACAGCAGACUUCACAUGGCAGCGAUGACCAUGAGGACAGCUACUCCCAAGUAAUGGGAAAAGAAAAAGGUGGCCAUGUGCGCAUGGUUGGGAUGGGUCCCAGUCCUGCUGAUAUCUGGGCCCGAAAACCUAGCCGUUUGAGUCUUGUGAGGAUAGGUUUGGAGGCCAAGAGAUUAGCAAAUGAGGAGGUAAGCAAGAUGUUAAACAAAAUGGAGGCCAUGGAGCAAAAGUACGCAUCCUUGGAAGCCCAAAUAGCUAGGAUGACUUCAAAUAUGGAGAAUCUGAUUGGCAAGAUGGGUGCCUUGGGUUCAAAACAGGUUCCUAAUAAUGCUCCUAAGGAUUCACUGCAGGCACAAGCACACUCAUCAUCAAGUCAUGCAAUUCAGCCUAAUGAGCCUGCAGGUUGACUAUAGACUAUAGAGAGGCAUUAUGCUCACAGGACUUGCCAACAUAUUUUUAGGAUUCUCUCUCUCUAAGAUUUAAAUAUUUGUUUGUGUUGGUGCAUGAAAUUAUUGCUAGGCUUGGCGGAUUGAACCUGCCGUUUUGGAUUUGGACAGGUAACAAACCGCUAGACAAGUUUUUAUGUCUUUAUGCAUGUAUUGUUCAUAACUUGAACAUUCCUGUCAUGUAUUUUAUUGCUUGUAAUCAGAGUUUUAUGUUUAUUUUGGAGUGACUGCUGAUCAUGGCUGUUAUUCUUUAUCUUGACUCAUGGAUGAAAAUAAUAGUGAGAAUGGUAAAAGGAAUUUCCAAAGAUCUUUAAGCUUUUUGCCUUUGAUUUUGAUUAUUGAUUUGAGAUGAUUAGUUAAUGCAAUUGGUGUAUUCUUUUUUUAAUAAUUAUUGCUUUUUUUUUUUCUCCUCUUUUCUUCUUUAUGUUCAGGGGAUGCUUUUGUUAUUCUGUUGGCAUUCAAUGAUGCUUUUAGCAGCUUCGUGAAUCUUAGUGCUUCCUGAAGUAUUGCCAGUAAAUGCUGGUUAUUACUGCAUGUUGUUUCUC